GAAAAGAACCCCGGCGAGGGGAGUGAAAAAGAACCUGAAACCGUGUACGUACAAGCAGUGGGAGCACGCUUCGGCGUGUGACUGCGUACCUUUUGUAUAAUGGGUCAGCGACUUAUAUUCUGUAGCAAGGUUAACCGAAUAGGGGAGCCGAAGGGAAACCGAGUCUUAACUGGGCGUUAAGUUGCAGGGUAUAGACCCGAAACCCGGUGAUCUAGCCAUGGGCAGGUUGAAGGUUGGGUAACACUAACUGGAGGACCGAACCGACUAAUGUUGAAAAAUUAGCGGAUGACUUGUGGCUGGGGGUGAAAGGCCAAUCAAACCGGGAGAUAGCUGGUUCUCCCCGAAAGCUAUUUAGGUAGCGCCUCGUGAAUUCAUCUCCGGGGGUAGAGCACUGUUUCGGCAAGGGGGUCAUCCCGACUUACCAACCCGAUGCAAACUGCGAAUACCGGAGAAUGUUAUCACGGGAGACACACGGCGGGUGCUAACGUCCGUCGUGAAGAGGGAAACAACCCAGACCGCCAGCUAAGGUCCCAAAGUCAUGGUUAAGUGGGAAACGAUGUGGGAAGGCCCAGACAGCCAGGAUGUUGGCUUAGAAGCAGCCAUCAUUUAAAGAAAGCGUAAUAGCUCACUGGUCGAGUCGGCCUGCGCGGAAGAUGUAACGGGGCUAAACCAUGCACCGAAGCUGCGGCAGCGACGCU
RNAcentral lists this ribosomal RNA (698 nucleotides) under Escherichia coli. Its description in RNAcentral is "bacterial LSU rRNA". It matches the Rfam family "Bacterial large subunit ribosomal RNA", at positions 516 to 1215 of the family's 2925-position model. The record is from RNAcentral. Lineage: Bacteria; Pseudomonadati; Pseudomonadota; Gammaproteobacteria; Enterobacterales; Enterobacteriaceae.